CGAUUUGUAGGCGAAUACUUUUCAAAUCUUAUUUAUUCUUUUCAAAUGUUGUUUAUUUUCUCUCUCUUCUCCCUCUCUCACAAUCUACAAUUCACAAAGACACAAACCCUAAUCUCUCAAUCUCAAUAGGGAAUUGCGUAUUUCCAGCUCGGAAUUAGCGAUCAGUCUUUCCAGAUCUUACAUCCCGUGGUGCCUAUCAGGAAUUAUGUCUUUUGUGCGGCCUCAGCAGCCACGAGGUGGCAAAUUUCACAGAGAUAAUAGAUCGUCUUGUGCUAGAAAUAGCAAUAUGGCUGUGAGGGCCACUGGUGCAGCUCCUCCUAAUUACCACGGGAACUUUGGCACACAUGACUACAACAACUACCAUGACUUUACUCAAACGUAUAGGUUGGAUGGACUCAUGUAUGACCGCCGUGGGCCUGAUUUUGCACCAUCUCCCAAAAGGAGAAAGACUUCAGCUUUCUCUGCUGAAAACACUGGGUUCAUUUAUCAGCAGCAGCAGACAUACCAAUAUGAUCUUGCAAAUCGUGCUGACUCAUUCAAACCUUCCAGAUACUAUAAUGCUUGUGCAGAUGCCCAAUUAGUCUGCAAAAGUUCUUCUGCUGUUGCUGAAACCAGGUCUGGUGGUGCCAAUCCGAAUGCUUCUUCUGCAUCAAAGUGUGACCCGUUAAAGUUUGAGGAUGAGGAAGUGGUUUUCAUGUCUAGGGAUGAUAUAGAGAAAUCAUCUCCUUCAAGAAAAGAUGGCAUUGAUCAGCUGCAUGAAACAUAUCUGCGAUACUCAUAUUGUUCCUUCCUUCAAGAUAUUGGGGUUAGGCUUCAUUUACCUCAAACAACCAUUGGGACUGCCAUGGUGCUCUGCCAUCGUUUCUUUGUACGCCGAUCUCAUGCCUCUCACGACAGAUUUCUGAUAGCUACUGCAGUUCUUUUCCUGGCUUCCAAGUCCGAGGAGACACCAUGUGCUCUGAAUGAUGUCCUAAAAGCAUCUUGUGAAGUUCUCCACAAACAGGAUUUCUCACUUCUUUCAUAUAUUUUACCCAUUGAUUGGUUUGAAAAAUAUCGUGAGCGGAUGACUGAUGCUGAGCAAUUGGUCUUAACAACUUUGAAUUUCGAGCUUAAUGUGCAGCAUCCAUUUGAAUCUCUGACUUCUACACUUCAAAAACUAGGCUUUGCACAGUCUGUCUUGGUGAAUAUGGCGCUGGACUUUGUCAGAGAAGGAGCCUUCUGAUAUCGAGACUGAAUAUAAAUGGAGUGAAAAAGUUACCAGUACCUGAACUGUAAUUGACACUCUGAUUGGUGGCUUCUCUAUUAUUUGGAUAACCAAUGAGGUCAAUAAUAUCAUUCGGGAGGAGGAUAUACACGAUUUAUUUACCUUUUGGUCCUCAGAUUGAAUCUUUCUUUUGGUUUAUAGAAGAUUAGCAUGCACCCAUUAUGAUAUUAAUAGCCGGAGGUUGAUCUGCUGAUCAUCAAAUGUGUUUUUCAUCUGAAGUUGAACUUGCUAUAUCUUGUGGAUUCCUUUCAAAUUCCAACAUCUUAUUAGCAUGGGCAUUUGCUCUAGAAGAUAGUUCGUGGGUUAAUUAUUUUAUACUCCAUUUAGACAUUACUAUGUCUUAGACUCUUACUCAGUUUCAACAUAGGUUGCUUAUAAUAAAUCUGAAGAAUACCUCAGAUUUUUGUUUGGGCAUGAUGGAACUAGUAGCUCAUCUUCCAUAUGUGGUGACCAAUUCCUUUUAAACACUUUGAUUCCCGAAACCAUUUGCGAUCAGGUGACUGAAUCCUUUACAUUUCAGAUUCACCCAUCCAUAUAUUACCCACCAAAAUACUCCGUGUUUUUUUGACCUCUCAUCUGUUUUCUUUUGCUUCCCAUUUCCUUUUUCUUCUAUUCUUUGCUCAUCUUCCAGCUUCAAUAAAUUUUGAAGGUCUUCAUAUGCUACUGAGCUUUGAUGGGUAAGAGUUUUGUAUGUCAUGUUCUGAGAAACUUCUAUUCAAGGGCUCAAACCUUAGUCCUUUGUCCAGUCAAAUAAGAACAGAAAAGGUAGGAAUACUUGCCAGUUACCACAAUAGUGGAAGCAUGCCCAGGAGAGAUGGGGAAGUCCCUACUUUAAUUUUAAUUAUUAUUGACCUGUUUGAGUAUCCAUUCACAAUGAUCAUCACUGUUCAACUUCUACAUUUUCUGCUCAAAUUUGGGCUGGGAUGUUGGUGGGGUGUAACAGUUGUCAUGUGUUCUAUAGAGUUCGAAAAAGAGUUGCCUAGGUGAUUCUGUUUUUUUUUCCUUGCUGUAUUGGGGCUUCAUCUAGUGGGCGUCAUGUCACCAUACACCAUACGUGGUGCAUGCUAAGUGUUGUCGCAGAAAGAAGUAGUAAUAUAGUCUUUUGCACUUGGUUUUUUAAAAUAUUAGGAAGACCAUCUUUUCUUAACAUCCAUGGAGGGAACAUCACUUUGAUGUUCUACAUUUACUUAUCAUAGGUUUACAUACCUAUCCAUACAUAUAUGUAUAUUUACUACUAGUUGUUGUUCCAUUUACUUAUCCGUAGGGAAUUAUCAGACCAUAUUUACAUAUACCACUGUAGCUCUAGUGAUACUUUUCUUUUAAACUUUGUAAAGAGUGUAAUUAAUAAAGUUAUGUGGAUAUUAUGUCUGAAUUUGUAACUUAGUCAAGAAUAUAAUGUCUGAUCCAGCAACCCUAAUGCUUGAAGAUAGUCUAAAUUUUCUGAGGACUCGACAAAAGCAAAGUAUAAUCUAAUUGGUCGUGGAGUGAUAAUCUGCUAAAACUAAUUUAUGAAGUCACAGUGAGUCUACGAACAUCGUAGCAUUCAUGCUGCUAGCCUUAUGUCUUACAAGGUGACCCGAGCCUGUUCCUCUCUUUUAUGUGCAUCCACAUCAGCAUUCUUGUUGGUAGACUGGCAGCAGAGACUGGAGUUGGAGUUAAUUGUUCUAUAGAUUGUUUGACAUGUUUUAUACUGGGAUAUCAAUCAGCAUUUCCCAGAGGAAUCUGGGUAUAUCCGACUUGGAUGCUGCCUUAUUAGUUGAUUUUUUAAUUGUGGCGAAUACAUCAAUGAGAAUAAGAUCAUGCAAGUUGAAUUGUUGGUGUUGCUUCUGCUUCAAAUGACUCAGAAGUUCGCUAUGGCUUCAGUUUAAACCUCACCAGAUAGCUGCUGGUGCUGCCUACCUUGCUGCCAAAUUCCUAAAUAUGAAUCUUGCUUCAUGUGAUAGCAUCUGGAAUGAGUUCCAC
Salvia hispanica is the source of this 3226-nucleotide non-coding RNA. The record is from RefSeq and is a predicted model, not a curated record. Lineage: Eukaryota; Viridiplantae; Streptophyta; Magnoliopsida; Lamiales; Lamiaceae.